GAUCAUGGCUCAAGAUGAACGCUGGCAGCGUGCCUAACACAUGCAAGUCGAACGAAGCGAUUUAACGGAAGUUUUCGGAUGGAAGUUGAAUUGACUGAGUGGCGGACGGGUGAGUAACGCGUGGGUAACCUGCCUUGUACUGGGGGACAACAGUUAGAAAUGACUGCUAAUACCGCAUAAGCGCACAGUAUCGCAUGAUACAGUGUGAAAAACUCCGGUGGUACAAGAUGGACCCGCGU
Molecule: ribosomal RNA, 239 nt
Filed under: uncultured bacterium
Lineage: Bacteria
Description: partial 16S ribosomal RNA
Rfam family: Bacterial small subunit ribosomal RNA
Source: RNAcentral